GGCUCGGUGGUGGAUGGUCCAUCCCUGUCUUCUGUACUGGGUUGCCAAAUGACUUGAGCAGGAGAAGCCUGUUCGAAUCAGGCCCGAGCCA
This is a non-coding RNA of Mycena alexandri, 91 nucleotides long. Lineage: Eukaryota; Fungi; Basidiomycota; Agaricomycetes; Agaricales; Mycenaceae. The record is from the annotation of a GenBank genome assembly.